Molecule: ribosomal RNA, 424 nt
Filed under: uncultured prokaryote
Description: bacterial SSU rRNA
Rfam family: Bacterial small subunit ribosomal RNA
Source: RNAcentral
UAGGGCAUCUUGGACAAUGGGCGAAAGCCUGAUCCAGCCAUGCCGCGUGAGUGAAGAAGGCCCUAGGGAUGUAAAGCUCUUUUGGCGGGGACGAUAAUGACGGUACCCGCAGAAUAAGCCCCGGCUAACUUCGUGCCAGCAGCCGCGGUAAUACGAAGGGGGCUAGCGUUGUUCGGAAUUACUGGGCGUAAAGCGCACGCAGGCGGAUUGGUAAGUUAGAGGUGUAAUCCCGGGGCUCAACCUCGGAAUUGCCUUUGAUCCUGCCAGUCUUGAGUCCGGGAGAGGUGAGUGGAAGUCCUAGUGUAGAGGUGAAAUUCGUAGAUAUUAGGAAGAACACCAGUGGAGAAGGCGGCUCACUGGCCCGGAACUGACGCUCAUGUGCGAAAGCGUGGGGAGCAAACAGGAUUAGAUACCCCCGUAGUCC